GCCCUUGUGCCAAGCAGCCGCGGUAAUUCCAGCUCCAAUAGCGUAUAUUAAAGUUGUUGUGGUUAAAAAGCUCGUAGUUGGAUCUCAACAGCCUUGAAGCGGUUAACUUUGUAGUUUUACUGCUUUAUAGGCUGUGCUUUUGCUGGAGGUUUAGGGGUGCUCUUGAUCGAGUGUCUCUGGAUGCCAGCAGGUUUACUUUGAAAAAAUUAGAGUGCUCAAAGCAGGCUAAAAUGCCUGAAUAUUCGUGCAUGGAAUAAUAGAAUAGGAUGUCGAUCCUAUUUUGUUGGUUUUCGGGACUCGACAUAAUGAUAAAUAGGGACAGUCGGGGGCAUUUGUAUUCAAACGACAGAGGUGAAAUUCUUGGACCGUUUGAAGACAAACUACUGCGAAAGCAUUUGCCAAGAAUGUUUUCAUUAAUCAAGAACGAAAGUUAGAGGUUCGAAGGCGAUUAGAUACCGCCCUAGUUCUAACCAUAAACGAUGCCAGCUAGCGAUCUGCCUGCGUUUUUACUGUAGACUGGGCAGGAAGCUUCCGGGAAACCAAAGCAUUUGGGUUCCAGGGGAAGUAUGGUUGCAAAGCUGAAACUUAAAGGAAUUGACGGAAGGGCACCACCAGGAGUGGAGCCUGUGGCUUAAUUUGACUCAACACGGGAAAUCUCACCAGGCCCGGACACUGGAAGGAUUGACAGAUUGAUAGCUCUUUCUUGAUUCGGUGGGUGGUGGUGCAUGGCCGUUCUUAGUUGGUGGAGUGAUUUGUCUGGUUAAUUCCGAUAACGAACGAGACUCUGUCCUGCUAAAUAGUUUCUACUUCUCUUUUGAGUAGAAAUUUCUUCUUAGAGGGACUGGUGACUCUUAGUCACACGAGAUUGAGCAAUAACAGGUCUGU
This 885-nucleotide ribosomal RNA is filed under the name uncultured eukaryote. RNAcentral's name for it is "SSU rRNA". It matches the Rfam family "Eukaryotic small subunit ribosomal RNA", at positions 559 to 1465 of the family's 1831-position model. The record is from RNAcentral.